Scatophagus argus is the source of this 698-nucleotide long non-coding RNA. RefSeq lists it as uncharacterized. The record is from RefSeq and is a predicted model, not a curated record. The transcript has 3 exons. Lineage: Eukaryota; Metazoa; Chordata; Actinopteri; Scatophagidae.
CGUAAUGUAUUUAGGUGAGUGCGGAAGUGGGCGGAGGAGAGACGGUGACCAGGAAGUGUUCGAAUGUGUGGCGCCAAGGGAGGCCAUGGGCUGCAGGCUGCUGUGACCUCCUCUGUUCGGGUCUGUAACGGUAUAAGGAGACGUAAUGCAGAUUGACAGAGGAGAGCUGUCGGGACCGAAAAGAUCUCUGAGGUCGGCCAUCACAAAGGUGCAUUACCGCCGAAGAGGACGCACAUUGGAGGAGCCGAUACCUCGUUACCACAAGCCUGGGCGCGUGGCGCGGUUGACCCGCUAGCGUAGCGGUUAGUGAUUCCGCCUGCAACACCGAAGACUGGGGUUCGAAUCCCAGACGGUCCGACGUUUGAUAGUCUGUCACCACAAACACGGCUACAAAGUUAGUUGCAGUGGUCUUGAACAGUGGACUCUUGCUUUCCUGACGUCAUUCCCAGGCUCACCAGUUCGUGUCUGCCAGUCUGUUCAGCUUAGUCUCAGCCCUUGUCUGCGCAGCCUUUGUUUCCGAUCAACCAGUCUUCAGCUCUGGAUGAAAGAUUCCUUUCAUUUAUAUUAGACCACGUGCACUCUCCUGCCACUCCAUCGACUUGGACUAAAAUAGAUGAACUCUUAUUUGUUAGUCUAAAGACUCAGUUUUUGUGGAAUCAUUCUUGCACAAGCCUAAGUAAAAACUUUUAUUUUACUUU